AGGAAAGGAUUACUCGCGCCUCGUUAGAAUCAGACAUGGCUUCAGGGGAUGCAGGACGCUCCCCUGAGCUGCCUGUCACCGACUAAGUGGAGCAGUGUUUCUUCCGCAGACUCAACUGAGAAGUCAGCCUCUGGGGCAGGCACCAGGAAUCUGCCUUUUCAGUUCUGUCUCCGGCAGGCUUUGAGGAUGAAGGCUGCGGGCAUUCUGACCCUCAUUGGCUGCCUGGUCACAGGCGCCGAGUCCAAAAUCUACACUCGUUGCAAACUGGCAAAAAUAUUCUCGAGGGCUGGCCUGGACAAUUACUGGGGCUUCAGCCUUGGAAACUGGAUCUGCAUGGCAUAUUAUGAGAGCGGCUACAACACCACAGCCCAGACGGUCCUGGAUGACGGCAGCAUCGACUAUGGCAUCUUCCAGAUCAACAGCUUCGCGUGGUGCAGACGCGGAAAGCUGAAGGAGAACAACCACUGCCAUGUCGCCUGCUCAGCCUUGAUCACUGAUGACCUCACAGAUGCAAUUAUCUGUGCCAGGAAAAUUGUUAAAGAGACACAAGGAAUGAACUAUUGAAGUCCUCAGCACAUGUUCUUCAUGGAGGUCAUCUUUCCCUGGACUGCUUGGCUACUUUAGAAGUCAAAUCAAGACUAGAAGUAUGAAAGCCAAUCACAAUUUCCCAACAAUUAGGAUCCAUCAUUCACCAUUUGGUUGGUCCCUGCUGCUAAGAAUUCCAAACUACAAGGGAAAAAGUUAAACUCAGCUAGAUUUCCCUGCCUGCUCAAGACCACAACCCCAGUGGCAACAUAAUUCUUGGUGAGGAUGAAAAAACGAAAUCUAUACUUGCCUUGAGAAAGCAUUCAUGCAAAAUAAAGCCCAGAUUCAUAAGUAA
Homo sapiens (human) is the source of this 880-nucleotide RNA transcript. It is a transcript of the gene named lysozyme like 1, with no coding region annotated. Lineage: Eukaryota; Metazoa; Chordata; Mammalia; Primates; Hominidae. The record is from RefSeq and is marked validated. The transcript has 6 exons.